CUACGGGCUGCUGCAGUGGGGAAUAUUGGGCAAUGGGCGCAAGCCUGACCCAGCAACGCCGCGUGAGGGAAGAAUGUCUUCGGAUUGUAAACCUCUGUCCUUGGGGACGAAAAAAAUGACGGUACCCAAGGAGGAAGCUCCGGCUAACUACGUGCCAGCAGCCGCGGUAAUACGUAGGGAGCAGGCGUUGUCCGGAAUUAUUGGGCGUAAAGGGUGCGUAGGCGGCGCUGUAAGUCAGAUGUGAAAUCCCCGGGCUUAACUCGGGAGUUGCAUUUGAAACUACAGUGCUUGAGUAAAGAAGGGGUAAGUGGAAUUCCUAGUGUAGCGGUGGAAUGCGUAGAUAUUAGGAGGAACACCAGUGGCGAAGGCGACUUACUGGUCUUUUACUGACGCUGAGGCACGAAAGCGUGGGGAGCAAACAGGAUUAGAUACCCUCGUAGUC
This 442-nucleotide ribosomal RNA is filed under the name uncultured bacterium. RNAcentral's name for it is "partial 16S ribosomal RNA". It matches the Rfam family "Bacterial small subunit ribosomal RNA", at positions 339 to 795 of the family's 1533-position model. The record is from RNAcentral.